UGGGGAAUAUUGCACAAUGGGGGGAAACCCUGAUGCAGCGACGCCGCGUGAAGGAAGAAGUAUUUCGGUAUGUAAACUUCUAUCAGCAGGGAAGAAAAUGACGGUACCUGACUAAGAAGCCCCGGCUAACUACGUGCCAGCAGCCGCGGUAAUACGUAGGGGGCAAGCGUUAUCCGGAUUUACUGGGUGUAAAGGGAGCGUAGGCGGUCUGACAAGUCAGAAGUGAAAGCCCGGGGCUCAACUCCGGGACUGCUUUUGAAACUGCCGGACUAGAUUGCAGGAGAGGUAAGUGGAAUUCCUAGUGUAGCGGUGAAAUGCGUAGAUAUUAGGAGGAACACCAGUGGCGAAGGCGGCUUACUGGACUGUAAAUGACGCUGAGGCUCGAAAGCGUGGGGAGCAAACAGGAUUAGAUACCCUGGUAGU
RNAcentral lists this ribosomal RNA (423 nucleotides) under uncultured Coprococcus sp. RNAcentral describes it as "bacterial SSU rRNA". It matches the Rfam family "Bacterial small subunit ribosomal RNA", at positions 355 to 794 of the family's 1533-position model. Lineage: Bacteria; Bacillati; Bacillota; Clostridia; Lachnospirales; Lachnospiraceae. The record is from RNAcentral.